UGAGCCAAGUUUAGGGUUUCUUAAAAACCCAAAGAUGUUUGAACUGAAGAGUUUGAUCAUGGCUCAGAUUGAACGCUGGCGGCAGGCCUAACACAUGCAAGUCGAGCGGUAGAGAGAAGCUUGCUUCUCUUGAGAGCGGCGGACGGG
This 147-nucleotide ribosomal RNA is filed under the name Pseudomonas sp. NZIPFR-PS2. RNAcentral describes it as "partial 16S ribosomal RNA". The stretch from base 41 to 147 matches the Rfam family "Bacterial small subunit ribosomal RNA", at positions 1 to 106 of the family's 1533-position model. The record is from RNAcentral. Lineage: Bacteria; Pseudomonadati; Pseudomonadota; Gammaproteobacteria; Pseudomonadales; Pseudomonadaceae.